AGAAACUUAGGUUAGGAUUAGACCGAGAGCCUUCAAAGCUCUAAGUGAGGGUGAAAAUCCCCCAGCUUCUG
RNAcentral lists this transfer RNA (71 nucleotides) under Hoplichthys gilberti. RNAcentral's name for it is "tRNA-Trp". It matches the Rfam family "tRNA". Rfam says of the family: Transfer RNA (tRNA) molecules are approximately 80 nucleotides in length. Their secondary structure includes four short double-helical elements and three loops (D, anti-codon, and T loops). The record is from RNAcentral. RNAcentral also lists the same sequence under 1 other name. Lineage: Eukaryota; Metazoa; Chordata; Actinopteri; Perciformes; Hoplichthyidae.